Molossus molossus (Pallas's mastiff bat) is the source of this 118-nucleotide small nucleolar RNA. RefSeq annotates it as small nucleolar RNA SNORA69. The transcript has a single exon. The record is from RefSeq and is a predicted model, not a curated record. NCBI's taxonomy places the organism in Eukaryota, Metazoa, Chordata, Mammalia, Chiroptera, Molossidae.
UGAGCAUAUUUUCUUUAAAAGCUUAACAAAUUUAUCCUGCUGAAAGAAAAUCUUGUGUUGAUCCUUUUUGAUUUUGCCUUUAUGAGGGUAAGAUCAUGACCGAAUGACAUGGACAAUU